GGGGGCGUCAGAAGCUCCCCCUGAGCCCCCAAAAAUCCCUCCUGCCCCGCCUCCCAUUGGCCGCUGGUUCCGCGGCACUUUACUCACUUCCUGGACUACAACUCCCGAAAGGCCGCGGGGCGCCGUGGGACGCCGAUAGAGCCGGGACUGCGGUUCCCGUCAUGCCGCGCGGCCCGUGGGAGUCCCCUCAGAGCCGGGGCUGUCCCCUGAGGAUCGUCCCGGCUGCUCCCCAAGUGCUUCCCCGAACCCUAAGUGCCCCCCGGGGUCCCCCUACAUCACCAGAGCAGAUCUUAGAGAUGGUGGCCAAGGGCAAUAGAAACCAGUGCAGCACCACACCAAGUCCAAUGCCACCUCCUCCCACUCCCAUGCCAUCCUCCAGAUCCAGGUGAAGCAGUGGGACCAACGCCGCUGUUGGCUUUGCUGAGAAUCUGCGUGUGGCCAAGGCAGAGCCACAUCCUGCCCUGGAUCAGCAGCUGCGGAAUCAUUCCGCGCUUGCGGAAUGCCUUCCCUGGGCGGCACAACCCCGUGAUCGCGGCCGGCCCGGACACCUGCGGCACGCCGUGGUUCGGCAGCCAAGCCAGGUCCAUCCCGCUGCUGGUGAGGAUCAAGCGGGAGCGACGCAGGGACCUGCCCGGGGCUCGGGAGCGGCUGAGUCAGGACGUUGUGUGGCGCGAUGGAUUGGUGGGUGCCUCCCGCAGGCCGCCGGAAUUUCCCAGCCCUGGGGGCGCCGCUAUGGGCAGAAGCAGGCGAUUGAGCUGUGGCAGCGUGUGCCUAGUGUGAAUACAAAGCUGUGUUUCGUGUCAGCUUGAGAAAGGAAGAUGAACAUCAACUCAAGGACUAAUAGUUUCAACCAAGGGAAGCUGGACAUCACUGCUAUGAGAUUUAUAGUCCUUGCAAUUAAAAGGUGAACCUGCAUCUGGAAUCUGGACCUCACCAGCUGGGAGACUUCUUUGUUCUUUCGGAAGCCAGACCCCACCAUCUGAGGAUACUCCUUUCUGGGAUACAUCCUGAGAAAAACUAAAUCACAAUAGUGUAUAGAAUUGUGACAUAAAAAUUUGGAAUAGAAACUGCUGAGAAAGCUUAUGAGUACCUGUAUAAAUACCUGUAAGCUCCAACUAUUGGCAUACAGUUGGAGGGAAAACUUCC
Molecule: long non-coding RNA, 1146 nt
Organism: Onychostruthus taczanowskii (white-rumped snowfinch)
Lineage: Eukaryota; Metazoa; Chordata; Aves; Passeriformes; Passeridae
Exons: 5
Source: RefSeq, a predicted model, not a curated record